CUUAUCUCAAAAGUUUUAAGUUUCUAUGGCAUUCCAAGCUGGCACCACCAGAGGAUUGCCUAGGGAAGUCUUUGUUCUAACUAAUAAAUGUAUAAACUUUGCCUUCUUUUGAACUCUAUAGCAGCCAGUAUGAGCUAUGGACUAGUUAUUACUCAAGAAGAAGUUUGAUGCACAUACAGGAUAGAUGAUCUCUGUAGAGUUUAACAACAUUAUGAUCUGACUUACUGCUUAGGGUGGGAAGACAUUGAUGGCUAAUGCUUGUAUAUGAAACUGAUAUGUGAAACUUACAUAUUUUUGUUUAAAAAUGUUAUACUUUAAAAAUAUUACUUUGUGCCUGUGUUCAGGAAAUACUCUUUGGAAUGAUUUUGGUUCUGGAUUGUCUGAUCUCUAAUCCUUUAGUUCUCACAGUGACUGGCUUACAAAAAGUAUAGUUCACUUCAGCAAUUCAUACAGAACCUUUAAAGAGGAUUUAAACUUCCUAUUAAAAGCACAAUUCUG
Molecule: long non-coding RNA, 498 nt
Filed under: Marmota monax (woodchuck)
Lineage: Eukaryota; Metazoa; Chordata; Mammalia; Rodentia; Sciuridae
Source: RNAcentral